GAUGAACGCUAGCUACAGGCUUAACACAUGCAAGUCGCAGGGUAACAUGAGGAAAGCUUGCUUUCCUUGAUGACGACUGGCGCACGGGUGAGUAACGCGUAUCCAACCUUCCCAUAACUACGGGAUAACCCGUUGAAAGACGGCCUAAUACCGUAUGAUAUCGUUUGCUGACAUCAAAUAACGAUUAAAGGUUUAGCGGUUAUGGAUGGGGAUGCGUCUGAUUAGCUUGUUGGCGGGGUAACGGCCCACCAAGGCGACGAUCAGUAGGGGUUCUGAGAGGAAGGUCCCCCACAUUGGAACUGAGACACGGUCCAAACUCCUACGGGAGGAAGCAGUGAGGAAUAUUGGUCAAUGGGCGAGAGCCUGAACCAGCCAAGUAGCGUGCAGGAUGACGGCCCUAUGGGUUGUAAACUGCUUUUAUGUGGGGAUAAAGUGCGUGACGUGUCAUGCAUUGCAGGUACCACAUGAAUAAGGACCGGCUAAUUCCGUG
RNAcentral lists this ribosomal RNA (490 nucleotides) under uncultured bacterium. RNAcentral's name for it is "partial 16S ribosomal RNA". It matches the Rfam family "Bacterial small subunit ribosomal RNA", at positions 28 to 507 of the family's 1533-position model. The record is from RNAcentral.